Molecule: long non-coding RNA, 278 nt
Filed under: Coffea arabica (coffee)
Lineage: Eukaryota; Viridiplantae; Streptophyta; Magnoliopsida; Gentianales; Rubiaceae
Description: long non-coding RNA (CARA_LNC000620)
Source: RNAcentral
AAGGAAAACAAAUCAUGUUCCAUUCACUUCCUCUGUUGGCUAAAACCGAGAAACAACAAGAAGGAAAAACAGAAAACCUCUCUUACCUUCUCCAACCAUGAACACUAGCCAAGAAACAAGAGAACUCCAGCUCAUUUAACCAAGGAAUCGAGAGAGAGACAAAAGAAAACCAGAAAUCUUGUUCCAGUCUAAACCGUGAAGAGACAAUAGGUAAUUAACUAAGUUGUUCUUCAUUUUCCUUCUAUGCUUGGUUAAUAAUGCCUUAGGAUGAACUAGAA